Molecule: long non-coding RNA, 549 nt
Filed under: Gallus gallus (chicken)
Lineage: Eukaryota; Metazoa; Chordata; Aves; Galliformes; Phasianidae
Description: lncRNA (ENSGALG00010013892.1)
Source: RNAcentral
UGACAUCAAAGUUUCUUACUUUGAUUGACAGCCAGCAAAGCGCAGUGCCAGAGAUGCUACAAGAAACAAGGUCACAACUGUACUUGAAAAUUACCCUGGAUUUGCCAAAGGGAUCAGCUAUGGAAUUCGGUAACACACCUUUGCUUCAUGUCAGACUCCGUCAUCACAUGGCAACAAAAUGUAAUGGAAUAUUGGUGAGAAGGUUCAGCCUCUACUGCCAUACUAUGAUCAUUCACCUCUGAUGUCGUGGGUCGGCAUAAUAAAAUAGGAAGCGUUACUUUUGGACCAGCCCUCAUACAAGCACCACAGAGAAGCAGACAUCAGCCUCUUGCACCACCAUCGGGGAAAAGUUCAUCAGCACAAAACCAAAGAAGCACAGAAGAACCACUGAACAACUCCAAUAACUCCACCACCUUAACUUUAGCUCCUCGCAGGCUGCUGUAGGAGAGUCAUCAGCCCAUCAAGUCCAUGGGAGAAGCUCUCUGGAGCACCUACAACUACAAGCAUAUGAAACUCAUCAUGGGAUGUCAUGGAAGAACGUGUGAGGAC